UACGUAGGGCGCAAGCGUUAUCCGGAAUUAUUGGGCGUAAAGAGCUCGUAGGCGGUUUGUCGCGUCUGCCGUGAAAGUCCGGGGCUCAACUCCGGAUCUGCGGUGGGUACGGGCAGACUAGAGUGAUGUAGGGGAGACUGGAAUUCCUGGUGUAGCGGUGAAAUGCAUAGAUAUUACGCAGAACACCGAUCGCGAAAGCAGCUCACUAGACCGUAACUGACGCUGAGGCACGAAAGCGUGGGGAGCGAACAGG
Molecule: ribosomal RNA, 253 nt
Filed under: uncultured bacterium
Lineage: Bacteria
Description: partial 16S ribosomal RNA
Rfam family: Bacterial small subunit ribosomal RNA
Source: RNAcentral